GAUGAACGCUCGCUGUGUGGUAAUACAUGCAUGUUGAACGGGAUGUAGCAAUACAUUCAGUAGCGGAUAGGUGAGUAACACGUACCUAACCUACCUUUAAGACUGGGAUAACUAUUGGAAACAAUAGCUAAUACCGGAUAUAGUUAUUUAUCGCAUGAUGAGUAAUAGAAAGGAGCUUCACAGCUUCACUUAAAAAUGGGGGUGCGGAACAUUAGUUAGUUGGUAGGGUAAUGGCCUACCAAGACGAUGAUGUUUAGCCGGGCCGAGAGGCUGUACGGCCACACUGGGACUGAGAUACGGCCCAGACUCCUACGGGAGGCAGCAGUAAGGAAUUUUCCACAAUGAGCGAAAGCUUGGUGGAGCGACACAGCGUGCAGGAUGAAGUUCUUCGGAAUGUAAACUGCUGUUAUAAGGGAAGAAAAAAUAGAAUAGGAAAUGAUUUUAUCUUGACGGUACCUUAUUAGAAAGCGACGGCAAACUAUGUGCCAGCAGCUGCGGUAAUACAUAGGUCGCAAGCGUUAUCCGGAAUUAUUGGGCGUAAAGCGUCCGUAGGUUUUUUGCUAAGUCUGGAGUUAAAUGCUGAAGCUCAACUUCAGUCCGCUUUGGAUACUGGCAAAAUAGAAUUAUAAAGAGGUUAGCGGAAUUCCUAGUGAAGCGGUGGAAUGCGUAGAUAUUAGGAAGAACACCAAUAGGCGAAGGCAGCUAACUGGUUAUAUAUUGACACUAAGGGACGAAAGCGUGGGGAGCAAACAGG
This 754-nucleotide ribosomal RNA is filed under the name uncultured Mycoplasma sp. Its description in RNAcentral is "bacterial SSU rRNA". It matches the Rfam family "Bacterial small subunit ribosomal RNA", at positions 28 to 776 of the family's 1533-position model. Lineage: Bacteria; Bacillati; Mycoplasmatota; Mollicutes; Mycoplasmatales; Mycoplasmataceae. The record is from RNAcentral.